UACGUAGGCAGCAAGCGUUGUUCGGAAUUACUGGGCGUAAAGCGUGCGUAGGCGGUUGGCUAAGUUUGGUGUGAAAUCUCCCGGCUCAACUGGGAGGGUGCGCCGAAAACUGGCCGGCUAGAGUGCGGGAGAGGGAAGUGGAAUUCCUGGUGUAGCGGUGAAAUGCGUAGAUAUCAGGAGGAACACCGGUGGUGUAGACGGCUUCCUGGACCGUGACUGACGCUGAGGCACGAAAGCGUGGGGAG
This 245-nucleotide ribosomal RNA is filed under the name uncultured Acidobacterium sp. Its description in RNAcentral is "partial 16S ribosomal RNA". It matches the Rfam family "Bacterial small subunit ribosomal RNA", at positions 524 to 768 of the family's 1533-position model. Lineage: Bacteria; Pseudomonadati; Acidobacteriota; Terriglobia; Terriglobales; Acidobacteriaceae. The record is from RNAcentral.